This 898-nucleotide ribosomal RNA is filed under the name uncultured bacterium. RNAcentral describes it as "bacterial SSU rRNA". It matches the Rfam family "Bacterial small subunit ribosomal RNA", at positions 79 to 955 of the family's 1533-position model. The record is from RNAcentral.
GACGUUGGGAAAGCGAGCGGCGGAUGGGUGAGUAACACGUGGGGAACCUGCCCCUAAGUCUGGGAUACCAUUUGGAAACAGGUGCUAAUACCGGAUAAUAAAGCAGAUCGCAUGAUCAGCUUUUGAAAGGCGGCGUAAGCUGUCGCUAAGGGAUGGCCCCGCGGUGCAUUAGCUAGUUGGUAAGGUAACGGCUUACCAAGGCGACGAUGCAUAGCCGAGUUGAGAGACUGAUCGGCCACAUUGGGACUGAGACACGGCCCAAACUCCUACGGGAGGCAGCAGUAGGGAAUCUUCCACAAUGGACGCAAGUCUGAUGGAGCAACGCCGCGUGAGUGAAGAAGGUUUUCGGAUCGUAAAGCUCUGUUGUUGGUGAAGAAGGAUAGAGGUAGUAACUGGCCUUUAUUUGACGGUAAUCAACCAGAAAGUCACGGCUAACUACGUGCCAGCAGCCGCGGUAAUACGUAGGUGGCAAGCGUUGUCCGGAUUUAUUGGGCGUAAAGCGAGCGCAGGCGGAAAAAUAAGUCUAAUGUGAAAGCCCUCGGCUUAACCGAGGAAUUGCAUCGGAAACUGUUUUUCUUGAGUGCAGAAGAGGAGAGUGGAACUCCAUGCGUAGCGGUGGAAUGCGUAGAUAUAUGGAAGAACACCAGUGGCGAAGGCGGCUCUCUGGUCUGCAACUGACGCUGAGGCUCGAAAGCAUGGGUAGCGAACAGGAUUAGAUACCCUGGUAGUCCAUGCCGUAAACGAUGAGUGCUAAGUGUUGGGGAGGUUUCCGCCUCUCAGUGCUGCAGCUAACGCAUUAAGCACUCCGCCUGGGGGAAGUACGACCGCAAGGUUGAAACUCAAAGGGAAUUGACGGGGGGCCCGCACAAGCGGGUGGAGCAUGUGGUUUUAAUUCGAA